Molecule: non-coding RNA, 29 nt
Filed under: Mus musculus (house mouse)
Lineage: Eukaryota; Metazoa; Chordata; Mammalia; Rodentia; Muridae
Source: RNAcentral
UGCCUGUCCACAUGAUCACUCAUCAUUGU